UAGGGAAUCUUCGGCAAUGGACGAAAGUCUGACCGAGCAACUCCGCGUGAGUGAAGAAGGUUUUCGGAUCGUAAAACUCUGUUGUUAGAGAAGAACAAGGACGUUAGUAACUGAACGUCCCCUGACGGUAUCUAACCAGAAAGCCACGGCUAACUACGUGCCAGCAGCCGCGGUAAUACGUAGGUGGCAAGCGUUGUCCGGAUUUAUUGGGCGUAAAGCGAGCGCAGGCGGUUUCUUAAGUCUGAUGUGAAAGCCCCCGGCUCAACCGGGGAGGGUCAUUGGAAACUGGGAGACUUGAGUGCAGAAGAGGAGAGUGGAAUUCCAUGUGUAGCGGUGAAAUGCGUAGAUAUAUGGAGGAACACCAGUGGCGAAGGCGGCUCUCUGGUCUGUAACUGACGCUGAGGCGAGAAAGCGUGGGGAGCAAACAGG
RNAcentral lists this ribosomal RNA (429 nucleotides) under Gemmatimonadota bacterium. RNAcentral's name for it is "Gemmatimonadetes bacterium partial 16S ribosomal RNA". It matches the Rfam family "Bacterial small subunit ribosomal RNA", at positions 355 to 776 of the family's 1533-position model. Lineage: Bacteria; Pseudomonadati; Gemmatimonadota. The record is from RNAcentral.